UACGGGGGGAGCAAGCGUUGUUCGGAUUUACUGGGCGUAAAGGGCGCGUAGGCGGCCUCCGCAAGUCAAUUGUGAAAUCUCCGGGCUUAACUCGGAAAGGUCAACUGAUACUGAUGUGCUAGAGUGCAGAAGGGGCAACCGGAAUUCUUGGUGUAGCGGUGAAAUGCGUAGAUAUCAAGAGGAACACCUGAGGUGAAGACGGGUUGCUGGGCUGACACUGACGCUGAGGCGCGAAAGCUAGGGUAGCAAACGGG
Molecule: ribosomal RNA, 254 nt
Filed under: uncultured bacterium
Lineage: Bacteria
Description: partial 16S ribosomal RNA
Rfam family: Bacterial small subunit ribosomal RNA
Source: RNAcentral